RNAcentral lists this ribosomal RNA (465 nucleotides) under uncultured bacterium. RNAcentral describes it as "partial 16S ribosomal RNA". It matches the Rfam family "Bacterial small subunit ribosomal RNA", at positions 28 to 507 of the family's 1533-position model. The record is from RNAcentral.
GACGAACGCUGGCGGCGUGCUUAACACAUGCAAGUCGAACGGAAAGGCCCCUUUGGGGGUACUCGAGUGGCGAACGGGGGAGUAACACGUGCGUAACCUGCCCUUGACUUCGGGAUAACUUCAGGAAACUGGGGCUAAUACCGGAUAGGAAUCCUUGCUGCAUGGUGGGGGUUGGAAAGCUUCGGCGGUUUUGGAUGGACUCGCGGCUUAUCAGCUUGUUGGUGGGGUAGUGGCUUACCAAGGCUUUGACGGGUAGCCGGCCUGAGAGGGCGACCGGCCACAUUGGGACUGAGAGACGGCCCAGACUCCGACGGGAGGCAGCAGUGGGGAAUAUUGCCCAAUGGGCGGCAGCCGGAUGCAGCAGCGCCGCGGGCGGGAUGACGGCCUUCGGGUUGUAAACCGCUUUCAGCAGGGGCGAAGCUUGUGGUGACGGUACCUGCAGAAGAAGCACCGGCUAACUACGUG